CAAUAGUGAAGGUCAGGCUGAAGACUUACCCGAUUAGCUGAGAGGUGGUGCAUGGCCGUCGUCAGUUCGUACUGUGAAGCAUCCUGUUAAGUCAGGCAACGAGCGAGACCCACGUCCACAGUUGCCAGCAUACCCUCCGGGGUGAUGGGUACACUGUGGAGACCGCCGCUGCUAAAGCGGAGGAAGGAGUGGGCAACGGUAGGUCAGUAUGCCCCGAAUCUCCCGGGCUACACGCGGGCUACAAUGGUUGGUACAAUGGGCAUCUACCCCGAAAGGGGAAGGAAAUCUCUUAAAGCCAAUCGUAGUUCGGAUUGAGGGCUGCAACUCGCCCUCAUGAAGCUGGAAUCCGUAGUAAUCGCGUUUCAACAGAACGCGGUGAAUACGUCCCUGCUCCUU
This 396-nucleotide ribosomal RNA is filed under the name uncultured Methanosaeta sp. RNAcentral describes it as "bacterial SSU rRNA". It matches the Rfam family "Archaeal small subunit ribosomal RNA", at positions 943 to 1338 of the family's 1478-position model. The record is from RNAcentral. Lineage: Archaea; Methanobacteriati; Methanobacteriota; Methanomicrobia; Methanotrichales; Methanotrichaceae.